GACGAACGCUGGCGGCGUGCUUAACACAUGCAAGUCGAGCGAUGAAGCACCUUCGGGUGUGAAUUAGCGGCGAACGGGUGAGGAACACGUGAGAAAUCUGCCUUCAACACUGGGAUAACUCCGGGAAACCGGGGCUAAUACCGGAUAUGAAACCUGCGGGCAUCCGCGGGUUUGGAAAGUUUUUCGGUUGAAGAUGAUCUCGCGGCCUAUCAGCUUGUUGGUGAGGUAAUGGCUCACCAAGGCGACGACGGGUAGCCGGCCUGAGAGGGCGACCGGCCACACUGGGACUGAGACACGGCCCAGACUCCUACGGGAGGCAGCAGUGGGGAAUAUUGGGCAAUGGAGGAAACUCUGACCCAGCGACGCCGCGUGCGGGAUGAAGGCCUCGGUUGUAAACCGGCUUUCAGUAGGGAAGAAGCGAAGUGA
Molecule: ribosomal RNA, 426 nt
Filed under: uncultured bacterium
Lineage: Bacteria
Description: bacterial SSU rRNA
Rfam family: Bacterial small subunit ribosomal RNA
Source: RNAcentral